AGCUUUGCGCAGUGGCAGUAUCGUAGCCAAUGAGGUUUAUCCAAGGUGCGAUUAUUGCUAAUUGAAAAG
Molecule: small nuclear RNA, 69 nt
Filed under: Canis lupus familiaris (dog)
Lineage: Eukaryota; Metazoa; Chordata; Mammalia; Carnivora; Canidae
Also listed under: 2 other names
Description: U4 spliceosomal RNA
Rfam family: U4 spliceosomal RNA
About the family: U4 small nuclear RNA (U4 snRNA) is a component of the major U2-dependent spliceosome. The structure of U4 snRNA from yeast and human has been reported. U4 snRNA presents a k-turn RNA motif in the 5p-SL related to recognition of Snu13 protein.
Source: Rfam by way of RNAcentral